GUACCUUCCUCUCCUCCCUGUCCCCUUCCCCCAAACGCUCCAUCCAGAGGGAAAGGUGCAGGAGCACACUCUUAGCAAGCAUUCAAACUAUUUCAUGAGAAGACCACACUUGGUUCUAUUCUGGCCUCCCUCAUGGGGGCGGGGGCGGCACGGCACAUCUUCAAACGCCUGCUGGCUUAAAUGGUGACAGCUGCAUGCAGCGGGCUCGCGUACAGCCCGCCGGGUGCAGUGGGAGAUAACUGCAGGGUAGAACUUCAAAGACAGACCCACUGCACUCAUUCCAACAGCCUGGGGCUGCCGCCUUCAGCUGCUGACUCCCUGCCUCCCUGCAUGCACCAAAAAUCACUUAUUAAAAGUUGGCUCUAUGUUAAAAUGGAUGGUGGCCUUUGAUCUUCAACUGAGGAGCCGUUAUGGGAGAAACUGUCACACGGAAGAUUCAAGAGAUGACUUGAAAUCCUCGGUUUCUUGCAAUGGGUAGCACAGAUGGCUGUUUAAGGAACCACAUUAAAGAGCCACCAUGAAAGAGUUGCUAGCAAGCAGUAACAUCCCUUGAGUGUGAAUUCCACAAACUUCUGGUGACUUAAUGUGAAAUGCAAGCAGCAGGAAGAGAAAAAAAGCAGACCUGAAUGUCCUCAACCAGACUUUCCUCCUCACAGCCCAUGAAGAGGUCCCCUCCAACUUCUGUUUCAAAGACAAGGCCAGAGGCUGCCCAGCACUCAACCAGAAGCUUGAGCAGACGUUGGAGGAGCUCAGCCCAAGGAAGCAGAGAUUCACACGGCUUAAUCUUAUCACUCCUUGAGUUACAGAACUGAAACUAUCGCCUCCAAGGCAGUUUUCUGAAAACAUAUUUUUUCAAGUCAUUAGAAAUAUGCAUAAUAUUAUCAGUUACCAUUUAUAGCUUCUGUAUUUCUAGUAACUGGCAUUGUUGUUACUUCAGGCAAGCCAGAAAAUAAGCAUGCCAGGAACUGACAGGGUGUGUUAUGUCACCAAAACAAAAGAGCUCAUGCUGAUAAAUGUCAGGUUGGCUUCUUUGUGGGUUUCCCCUUUCCUUCGGCAAAGUUGCAGCUUUUGCCUUCUUUUCCACUCUCAGUAUGGGCUGAAGUGUUGAGCAACUCAAGAAGCUGGACUCUUUCCAAGAUAUCUGCCUUCUAAAGCUAUCAGGCACAUCAGAUGGCCACGACUUUACCAGAUACAAGGACUCCGGCCAUUUCCUUUGUCUUAGAGCCAGUAAUCUAGUAAUGUUUUUAAAUAACGGAUAUUCUUGGGUGUCUUGCUCAUCUGGCAUAUUCAUCGUGUAGAAAGGAAAAGACAGAAUCUUUUUUUGCCACUAAAGACCUGGGUGGUCAGGACUGCCUGAAGGAGGGGAGGACAGAGACUUUCUCAAGUAGCAAUGAACAAACAGAAAUAGAUGUCAGGAGGAAACGUGAAGGAGGAGGGCGGCUGGUGAUAAAACUCUGAAAGAGGAGGUUGCAGAAAGCCUCUCCCUUUAGUCCCUCCGCCUACUAAUCUCUCCCUCUUGAUCACUGUUUCUUUUACCUUUUGAUUUAAUGCCAUUGCAGACAAAAUAGGAAAAGGCAUUCUCUGCCAGGGCCAUUUACAUUGGCUUUCGUCUUCCCGAAACCUAAUAUACGUUACUGCUUUUGUAAAAGAGGAACUAAUAUUAUUCCUGGGUUUGCAUAAAUGUGUGUGUGUGUGUAAUUUGUUUAUACUGAUUUCUGCGCCAGGUAGAUGCCCACAUGCUGCCUGAACACAAACGAGUAUGCACAUAUAUUAGACAUAUACAACUACCUACGGUUGUAAAGACUGCUAGACAUUGACUCCAGGUUUCCCUCCCUCUCUUCCUGGACACUAUGGAGGAAAGCCACUGUCUGGCCAGGGUCAUUCACCUUGGACUCUUACUUGAGCAAGAGAUUAACUCCUGUUGUGUUUAAACCAUAAUACAAUUUUGGUUCUACUUAUGUAGCAGUUUAACCUAACUUGCAAAAGCCCACAGUCAUAUAUAUAAACACACACGACUUAGACCUACCACAUAGUACAUGACUCUAACCGUCAAUACACCACAAUGGUAACUUGCAUGGCUCCAAAAGUAUGAGAAUAAUUUGAAAGGAGGCUUAUGAUGGUGCAAAAGCAAUGUUUCCUUUGAUAGAAUUUAAGCAUGAUUAACAAGCCAAACACAUUUUUAGAAGUUACAUAUGAAUCAACUAGGCUUUCCUAAUUUUGAAAGCUCGCUGGAACACAGAUGAUUCCCGUUUGGGCCAGAAUUGCAUUAAUCUGCUUAGACUAAGCCAGUUUUGACAAUGGGAAUGAUAUUAAGCAGUCCUAAAUAUUUCUGAAAUGCAAUUCUGUGAGUGAGCAUGAACGUAAAUACGCAUACAAGCACAUCUAGCCACACGUUAACAAGAGAAAAAAAUACUGUGUUCUCUCUGUUAAAAAAAAAGUCUCAUUCUUUUAAUCUGUUUAUCCCUGUUAAAGGAGCCAAGUGAAGAUUAUUGAAAUUAAUGCUUCACAUGACCUCACAACACAACCUACACAAGUUAGGAGCAAUGAUGUUAACCGAGUGUCCACUUGAUUAUAAGAAAGCAUUUGGGGGAGACACCCAUUGCAUUUCCACGAGCCAGGCAAGCAGUCUGGCUUAAAUCUUGUAGGCUUAAAUCCUGGCAGCAAUAUUAUCAGAAAUAACUCUCACCUCUUUCAAUCAGAGAUCUGAGACUUUGAAGUAAUGCUCAGGUUUAUGAAAGCCAAGGAAAAUGGAGGCGGGGUCUUUGUCUGCUGGAACUGCAUGCGAAAUUCUAAAAAACCCACCGAUCGUCAUUCCCAGGAACAGAACUAGGAAGGGUGAAGAGAACUUUUGCCAAUGUUAGUUUUCUAGAACAUGCCUUGGGCAUAGUAGUGAGAAAAAAGAGAGGGAAAAAUCAACUGGUGAGCAUUACUGGCUGCCAGACAAGAUUCAAAUAAGCUGUUUAGCCUUUGGUUUCAGCAUUCCCAAACAUCAUAAAGAUUUCAGCUCUUGUAAAAGGGGAGCCAAUUGUUUACAAUAGACUAUUCUGGAGGGAGUGGGUGUGUCCCAAGAGGCAAAUAUUUGCCCAUAGGAGGUAAUAAAAUUGUAUUAAGCUCUUACCCCACUGCUGUACGUGGUCAUCAAUGUGAUUAGCUCACUCAAGUCUAUUUUAAGAUCCUGACAGGCACAAACAUUAACAAGAACCUGGCAUUUCUCCUUAAGAAUAUAUAAUCGACCUUUCAAGUCCGUAAUCUUGUUUAUCAAAGCGGAUGGCAGGGAUUUAUGCAGAAUAGUUUGCACACCUCUUUGAUUUCGGCCCCCUGAGAACCCAAACAGGCAUCCCACCCAAUCCUGUUUUAUUUUCGCCAUAUCCUGUGUUGUUGAAUGGGCCUCUUGUAAAAAUGCAAUGUAAGGCCCUCCCCUUGCAGUUUUUUUCUGAAGUUCUGAACAAGUCUUACAUCAGUUUUGUAAAAUGUGCAGUUCUCUUACAUUCCUCAGGCAGACUUUAAAGGUCACGGUCCUAAACAGUUAGGGAAGUCUGUUUGCAUAGACAGGGACCCACAUGGAUGAAAGGAAGAAAGCAAUUUAAUCGACAGUUAAGCUGUGUGGGCAAACACAGCAUUCCAGAAAAUGGUGGAUAGAAGUGGGUGGGAGUAUGUGGACCUGGAUUCUCUUAAUCAAUCACUUUUAACUUGUGUUACAAUUUUUAAACUAAACCUUCCAGCAAAAAAAAAAAAAAAAAAAAAUGCACUC
Bubalus bubalis (water buffalo) is the source of this 3751-nucleotide long non-coding RNA. RefSeq lists it as uncharacterized. The record is from RefSeq and is a predicted model, not a curated record. The transcript is spliced from 4 exons. NCBI's taxonomy places the organism in Eukaryota, Metazoa, Chordata, Mammalia, Artiodactyla, Bovidae.